CUUGCGCAUCCUCUUCCUCCUGCUCACCAGGCCAGUGGCCGCUUCCCACUCACGUCUGUCCUGGUUUAGACCCGCCUUCUCCAGGAGCCUUCCUGAGUGCCUCAGUGCACAGCAGCUGCCCCCUAACAUGCUGUCCUCGGUGUUUGGAGGCCCCAGCAAGCAGCUUACGCUCUCUGGACGUCAGCUUCCCAACUGCACCCCAAGGAGCUGGGACCCCUGCUUUUUGAUUCCAUGUUUCUGUGGUGGUGAGGACGGAGACAGACAUCCGCAGACAGAUACGCAGCACGUCUCGUCCAACACAGAGAAACUGAGGCUCAGAGGGACCACGUUGGCUUGAGUGACUGGAAACCCGGGCUCUCCCUCUGACCAAGUCUACAUGCGCGUCCUCAUCUGGGAUAUGAGACGACCAGACUACAUGAACUCCGGGUCCAUUUCAGGCCUUGAAGGCCGAGGUGAAUAAUAUGUGACAACAACAGCGUGUGUUUGCUGGCCCCCAGAGUGUUGGGUCCUCUGCGUUGGACAUUUUCCAUGGGUGAUCCUGUUUAAGACUCAAUAACUCUUUUAUUUUUGCAUAAAAGAGCUGGGGUAUAGGCCGGGGGUGCAGGGGGUGGUGAGAAGAGUCACCAAAGGGGCCUCCCUCGUGGUGCAAGGGGUUAAGAUGCAACCAAUGAAGCUGUCCACAGCCACUGCAGCAUAAGUUCCAUCCCUGGCCAGGGAGCUACUCACAGGCGCAGCAGACCUCUCCUGACUCG
Molecule: long non-coding RNA, 752 nt
Organism: Talpa occidentalis (Iberian mole)
Lineage: Eukaryota; Metazoa; Chordata; Mammalia; Eulipotyphla; Talpidae
Exons: 3
Source: RefSeq, a predicted model, not a curated record